UCCGCGUGGUUUUUGGUGGUGGGGGGGGGGGGCCUACCAUGCAGUCGAGCGGAUGACGGGAGCUUGCUCCUUGAUUCAGCGGCGGACGGGUGAGUAAUGCCUAGGAAUCUGCCUGGUAGUGGGGGACAACGUUUCGAAAGGAACGCUAAUACCGCAUACGUCCUACGGGAGAAAGCAGGGGACCUUCGGGCCUUGCGCUAUCAGAUGAGCCUAGGUCGGAUUAGCUAGUUGGUGAGGUAAUGGCUCACCAAGGCGACGAUCCGUAACUGGUCUGAGAGGAUGAUCAGUCACACUGGAACUGAGACACGGUCCAGACUCCUACGGGAGGCAGCAGUGGGGAAUAUUGGACAAUGGGCGAAAGCCUGAUCCAGCCAUGCCGCGUGUGUGAAGAAGGUCUUCGGAUUGUAAAGCACUUUAAGUUGGGAGGAAGGGCAGUAAGCUAAUACCUUGCUGUUUUGACGUUACCGACAGAAUAAGCACCGGCUAACUCUGUGCCAGCAGCCGCGGUAAUACAGAGGGUGCAAGCGUUAAUCGGAAUUACUGGGCGUAAAGCGCGCGUAGGUGGUUUGUUAAGUUGGAUGUGAAAGCCCCGGGCUCAACCUGGGAACUGCAUCCAAACUGGCAAGCUAAAAGUACGGUAAAGGGUGGUGGAAUUUCCUGUGUAGCGGUGGAAAUGCGUAAAUAU
This 685-nucleotide ribosomal RNA is filed under the name Pseudomonas sp. TB325. Its description in RNAcentral is "bacterial SSU rRNA". It matches the Rfam family "Bacterial small subunit ribosomal RNA", at positions 1 to 697 of the family's 1533-position model. Lineage: Bacteria; Pseudomonadati; Pseudomonadota; Gammaproteobacteria; Pseudomonadales; Pseudomonadaceae. The record is from RNAcentral.